RNAcentral lists this ribosomal RNA (253 nucleotides) under uncultured bacterium. RNAcentral describes it as "partial 16S ribosomal RNA". It matches the Rfam family "Bacterial small subunit ribosomal RNA", at positions 524 to 776 of the family's 1533-position model. The record is from RNAcentral.
UACGUAGGUGGCAAGCGUUGUCCGGAUUUACUGGGCGUAAAGAGCGCGCAGGCGGUCGUUCAAGUCGCGUGUGAAAGCCCCCGGCUCAACUGGGGAGGGUCACGCGAUACUGAUCGACUCGAAGGCAGGAGAGGGUAGUGGAAUUCCCGGUGUAGUGGUGAAAUGCGUAGAUAUCAGGAGGAACAUCGAUGGCGAGGGCAGCCCCUUGGACCUGUACUGACGCUCAUGCACGAAAGCGUGGGGAGCAAACAGG